UAAAUUCCAAAACAUUUUUUGUCAAUUAAACACCGAAAAGAUGGAAUUGCAAUUCCAUUUUCGAAUUUCCUACCUAUCAACCAAGUUAGAUUUUUUCCCCACGUUCAGUUUCUUCUUCUUCCUGCUCUGUCCACCAUACGGCUGUUCUCUCCCAAAUCACCACCCUUCAAUCAGCCAUCAACUGCUCAAUUACCACCCUUCAAUCAGCCCAUAAACCUAACGACCGAAGUGAGCACAGGGAUAGCUUUUAGUUAGCUGAUGCAAAGGACAAAAUCUCUUCAAUCCUUCUGAUUGCGGUUCUAGAUGUCCUGUUUUGACACCGAAUAUUAAAGAAUGCCAAAAUUAUAUUUCAACAAGAAGAUAUCAAGUUUGUGCAGCCAUCUUCUUCUUCUUCUUCUUCUUAUCUAGGUAAGUGGGAGAGGAUGGAGAUGCUGCCAAACAACCCUCGUCGGCUAUUCAUUAUGUGAUCAUCAGUUGGAUAAAAGGAAGCUUAAAAGCACGACGAGCACUGUUCGCGUACUCUCUCCGAGUGCGAAGCAAGUAGAAGCUUUUGUUGCGUCCAAGAAUGAAAUCUUGAGCCCAUCUUCAACUCGACAAAUAUCAUCUAUCUUGAGUUCCUUAGAUGUGGACUCGAAAUGAUUAGAGAAAAUUGAUAACGAUGAUGAGAAGAAAGCAGUGAUGUCUGCAAAGAAGAUGACAAAAAUUGGACCUCAUGGUGAGAGCUAGAUCAAUAAGCAGCCUGCUUGGCCAGAUUGAUAGUACGGCAAUUGAGUAUUAUUUCGUGCAGAAGAAAGUUGAAUCGUUAUGAUAUGUUGUUGCAUUGAAUUUGGAAUGUAUAUAUAUGGCCACAGUAUAACAGAUGUAUGUAGUAUUGAACAAGUUGAAUUGCGAUA
Olea europaea var. sylvestris is the source of this 893-nucleotide long non-coding RNA. RefSeq lists it as uncharacterized. The transcript is spliced from 3 exons. The record is from RefSeq and is a predicted model, not a curated record. Lineage: Eukaryota; Viridiplantae; Streptophyta; Magnoliopsida; Lamiales; Oleaceae.